This 120-nucleotide ribosomal RNA is filed under the name Petromyzon marinus (sea lamprey). Lineage: Eukaryota; Metazoa; Chordata; Hyperoartia; Petromyzontiformes; Petromyzontidae. The record is from RNAcentral.
ACCAAUGACCAAGUCUCCCUAAAUGCACCCAAUCCGGUCAGCUCUCGGGAGCUAAGCAGGCUUGAGCUUGGUGAGGUGCUUGGAUGGGCGACCACCGGGGCUUUCCAGGCAUUGUAGGCG